GAAGACUCAUUUAGGAGCAUUUCCUUCUCAAAAUCAAUUGAUAAUUCAACUGAAUUUAGCAGUGCCAGGUUCUCAGACAUUGUUGGACCUCGAGAUGAGGAUGAUGAGGGCAAGGAGAGACCACUGGUUCUCCGGAACAAGCCACCAAGAUGGCACGAGCAGUUGCAAUGUUGGUGCCUAAAUUUUCGUGGAAGAGUGACUGUUGCCUCUGUCAAAAAUUUUCAACUGAUUGCUGCAACGCAACCUGCUGCUGGUGCACCAACACCAUCGCAGCCAGCUCCAUCUGACCAUGACAAGAUAAUUCUGCAGUUUGGUAA
This 317-nucleotide unclassified non-coding RNA is filed under the name Hevea brasiliensis (rubber tree). Lineage: Eukaryota; Viridiplantae; Streptophyta; Magnoliopsida; Malpighiales; Euphorbiaceae. The record is from RNAcentral.